RNAcentral lists this ribosomal RNA (267 nucleotides) under uncultured bacterium. RNAcentral describes it as "partial 16S ribosomal RNA". It matches the Rfam family "Bacterial small subunit ribosomal RNA", at positions 793 to 1055 of the family's 1533-position model. The record is from RNAcentral.
GUCCACGCCGUAAAACUGUGGGUACUAGGUGUGGGUUUCCUUCCUUGGGAUCCGUGCCGUAGCUAACGCAUUAAGUACCCCGCCUGGGGGAGUACGGCCGCAAGGCUAAAAACUCAAAAGAAAUUGACGGGGGCCCGCACAAGCGGCGGAGCAUGUGGAUUAAUUCGAUGCAACGCGAAGAACCUUACCUGGGUUUGACAUGCACAGGACGUGCCUAGAGAUAGGUAUUCCCUUGUGGUCUGUGUGCAGGUGGUGCAUGGCUGUCGU